GACCAUCUGAGCAUCAACAUAACUACCACGUGAGGUCAAGUGCCUGAAAAGUGCUGUAUAUAUCUAUACACAUUUUCCUUACAUGAAAGAUGCAUCUUAUAGCAAUGCAUAUCAGGCUUUCACCUGCUAAAAAACAUUCUUGUUGCCCAACCUUACCAUCCACCACUAUUCUGACUCCUUAUUACAAGUUGCAACCUAUUUUACAAUUAAAAGAGAGGUUCCUUUAUUUAUAUAAAGUCCCUAAAACUAUGUCUUGAUAUUGGUAGACUUAAGUUUAUCAUAGUUCAAGAUUGCACUUUUUUAAAACUCUGGAUAUAAACUUGAUUCAGUGGUGACUAUACAGCUUGUCAUAAGUCACGGUUGUGAUUUUUCUUGAGAGGAAUCCUUUAUGUGGUUAAUAUCUACUAUAAAUAAGCACUCUUGUGCUUGUUAUAAAGAAUAAUGCAAAUUCCUAGCUCUGUACUGUUUCUGUCCUUCUCUUCAAAAAGGAAAUAGUUGAAAUGGCAUUGUCUAAUCCAAUGGCACUUUAUUAGUAAUACAUUUUAUUUGUCAUAGGUAUAAGAGAACUCUUACCUGCAGAGACUUAUAUGUUUUAGCUAAAACUUUAAAAUUGUAAGAUAUGUAGUAUGGGUAUUAUUAUAAUUGUGUAUUUUACAUUUCAAAAAUGGGUAAAAUUCAUAUAGUAAGCCUUUGACUAUGUUAAAAUAAUUGUGAAAUCCUUUAAAAUGUGGAACGUAAACUAAUCAAUUAUAACUUUUUGUUACAAUAUAUUUGUCUGUUAACUUCAUCAG
This 791-nucleotide long non-coding RNA is filed under the name Bos taurus (domestic cattle). RNAcentral describes it as "long non-coding RNA NONBTAT001110". Lineage: Eukaryota; Metazoa; Chordata; Mammalia; Artiodactyla; Bovidae. The record is from RNAcentral.